GAGAAGUGUUUUCUGACAUCUUAAAAAAAACAUCAGUUUUUUAAAAUCAUGAAAUAGGUGGUUUGUUAAAGAACGUCGUCUCUUAAGGUAAAUCAAGAAGACAAACUGGCAAAUCACAGGACUUCAACAGAUGCUAAAGGACUGCUGAGGUACACCAGACUGAACUCCACCAUGCCAGUUUGCAGUGCAGACUACAAAGGAGGGGGACUUGCUGAACUUUCUGGUGAGCUGAUCUCUGAGUUCACUGAUCCUACUGCUGACAGAGUGGCUGUGUGCUCCUCCUCCUUAUCAUCUUCCGUCUGGCUGGGGCUGACCACUACACUGCUUGGCCCUGAAGAGUAUAGGCUGACUGGAUUUACUGAUGGCUUCUGGCCUAUAACUUCAUGCAUGGCUGCAUAAAAUAUCCAUGUUGCUGCAGUCACUUCUCCCUCGUCUGUCCCUGACCCAGUUUUUGGAAGUGACAAGUCCUUAACAUAGUAAUACAUUCAUAUACUACACAAUCACAGAGGCACUUUAAAUUAUCAAGCAACUUACCUUGUACUUCUUUUUAAGAUUUUCCCAAUUUGUUUUGCAUUGUUGCGGUGUCACUUUUCCCUCCAAUCCCAUUGUUUUUAUUAUUUCACUGCAUGAGACAUAUAUAUACUUAACACUUAUUGCUUUAUACUUACGUAUUAUGUUUCUAUUGUUUACAUCUAUAAACUUAUAGCCUUGGGUGGAGGCAUUCCUGUGUCCAGUAAACAGAUGGUCAUUUUCAGAUCUAAAUUGGAUUAAAUUAAAAGUAAUUUCAUCCGUCCCUGUAAAAGAAAAAAAAAGUACAAUUAUUAUAAGUAAAAAUAACUACCGUAUGCAUUUUAAUGUGGCAGUACACUUUUCCCCCAGUGGGCCCACCACCUGCAGGGGGAACCGUGAGGGACCGGUGCAAAGAGGAUUGGGUGGCGGACGAAGGUGGAGACCUCAACGGCCCGAUCCCCGGA
Molecule: long non-coding RNA, 974 nt
Organism: Girardinichthys multiradiatus
Lineage: Eukaryota; Metazoa; Chordata; Actinopteri; Cyprinodontiformes; Goodeidae
Exons: 3
Source: RefSeq, a predicted model, not a curated record